Molecule: ribosomal RNA, 253 nt
Filed under: uncultured bacterium
Lineage: Bacteria
Description: partial 16S ribosomal RNA
Rfam family: Bacterial small subunit ribosomal RNA
Source: RNAcentral
UACGAAGGGGGCUAGCGUUGCUCGGAAUUACUGGGCGUAAAGCGCACGUAGGCGGCCUGUUAAGUCGGGGGUGAAAUCCUGGAGCUCAACUCCAGAACUGCCUUCGAUACUGGCGGUCUCGAGUUCGGGAGAGGUGAGUGGAACUGCGAGUGUAGAGGUGAAAUUCGUAGAUAUUCGCAAGAACACCAGUGGCGAAGGCGGCUCACUGGCCCGAUACUGACGCUGAGGUGCGAAAGCGUGGGGAGCAAACAGG